RNAcentral lists this long non-coding RNA (599 nucleotides) under Dromaius novaehollandiae (emu). RNAcentral describes it as "lncRNA (ENSDNVG00000005487.1)". Lineage: Eukaryota; Metazoa; Chordata; Aves; Casuariiformes; Dromaiidae. The record is from RNAcentral.
UCCGCCUCCUUCCAGAGAGCAGAUCCCGAACGCUCUCUGGUCUUCAGGCACCAUCUCGGCAUGAAUAACAAGUCUACGUGAGUCUACCGGCAGGAUCAGCGCUGCAGCCAUUCAGGGACGGGGGCAGCAGGGAACCUGCCCCGGCGGGCGUCACGUGGCCAAGGGCAGGCCGCARGGUGCGUGGCGUCGGUGUGCAUAUGCCUUUCCCUUUAGAGACCAUCGCCUGAACAAAAUUCCUCCCCGGCUGUGCUUUUUCCUUCCUGAAGGCUGUUGUCUGCUGGAGAUCUGCCUGUGGGUGGAGAGUGACUUCUUUCACUUCUGAUCAGCGGCAAAGGAGACGUUGCUGUUUUGCUUGUUAAAAGGUUUUGUGUUCUCUUGAGAGUUGCAAAAAAGCGUUACAAUCCUCAUAUGCAAAUUCUAUAAGCUUUACUGUUCUCCUCAGGUGUGCAUGCCAAGUUUUCAUUAUGAAGGCUCCCUGCUGUGAAAAAAAGGAGCUGACCUGGAGGAGGAAGGAGACAUUGAUAGUAGAUUUACUCCUGGAGCCCCACAGCUUUAUACCUACAAACUGGCUGAGUCCUGAGAUGAGUGCUGCUUUUUAA